Molecule: long non-coding RNA, 481 nt
Filed under: Danio rerio (zebrafish)
Lineage: Eukaryota; Metazoa; Chordata; Actinopteri; Cypriniformes; Danionidae
Description: lncRNA (ENSDARG00000117600.1)
Source: RNAcentral
CCAACAUCUACAAACACACACCGGGGCCAAAAAUCAGCACAUCUAUCUCGGACGCGUCACACUUUGUAAAUGACAUUCUCUCUUGCAUUCCUAGGGUCUGCACGCUGCUAAACACACCGAACCCGUUCACCCUUCGAGCCUAGGGAGCCAAGGUAAUAUGCAUUCGCCUUCCAAUGCAUCUGAUGGGGCGCUGUGCGCUGGGAUGGGCCGACAAAUGUCACGAAUCAGCAUUGGGGCUGAGCGCUACCCAGAGACUGUCGGGGCUCUGAUGGAUUUGGCCAGACUGAAAGACAGGCAAGAGAGUGUGGAGGCCCGUGUGGCGCAACUGCAGGCAAACAAGGCCGAUCUGAGCCAGCUUCAACAUCUGCAUGAUCUCCUCACUGCCAUAGAGCAGAAGCAGAUUCCCGAUCAUGUGCCAGAACAGCUGAAUCAUCUGAGGACUCUUGUGGACAGUCUUCUAGCUGAUAAAGAGAAGGUAUGA